UACGUAGGGUGCAAGCGUUAAUCGGAAUUACUGGGCGUAAAGCGUGCGCAGGCGGUUUUGUAAGUCUGACGUGAAAUCCCCGGGCUCAACCUGGGAAUUGCGUUGGAGACUGCAAGGCUAGAAUCUGGCAGAGGGGGGUAGAAUUCCACGUGUAGCAGUGAAAUGCGUAGAGAUGUGGAGGAACACCGAUGGCGAAGGCAGCCCCCUGGCUCAAGAUUGACGCUCAUGCACGAAAGCGUGGGGAGCAAACAGG
RNAcentral lists this ribosomal RNA (253 nucleotides) under uncultured bacterium. RNAcentral describes it as "partial 16S ribosomal RNA". It matches the Rfam family "Bacterial small subunit ribosomal RNA", at positions 524 to 776 of the family's 1533-position model. The record is from RNAcentral.